UACGGAGGGUGCAAGCGUUAUCCGGAUUCACUGGGUUUAAAGGGUGCGUAGGUGGGUCUGUAAGUCAGUGGGGAAAUCUCCGUGCUUAACAUGGAAACUGCCAUUGAUACUAUAGGUCUUGAAUUUUCUGGAGGUAAGCGGAAUAUGUCAUGUAGCGGUGAAAUGCUUAGAUAUGACAUAGAAUACCUAUUGCGAAGGCAGCUUACUACGCAGAUAUUGACGCUCAUGCACGAAAGCGUGGGGAUCAAACAGG
This 253-nucleotide ribosomal RNA is filed under the name uncultured bacterium. Its description in RNAcentral is "partial 16S ribosomal RNA". It matches the Rfam family "Bacterial small subunit ribosomal RNA", at positions 524 to 776 of the family's 1533-position model. The record is from RNAcentral.